Molecule: ribosomal RNA, 482 nt
Filed under: uncultured bacterium
Lineage: Bacteria
Description: partial 16S ribosomal RNA
Rfam family: Bacterial small subunit ribosomal RNA
Source: RNAcentral
GACGAACGCUGGCGGCGUGCUUAACACAUGCAAGUCGAACGAUGAAACCUAGCUUGCUAGGUCGAUUAGUGGCGAACGGGUGAGUAACACGUGACUAACCUGCCCCUUUCUCUGGGAUAACGCUCCGAAAGGAGUGCUAAUACCGGAUACUCACACCGAGGCACAUGCCUUGGUCUGGAAAGUUUUUGGGAAAGGGAUGUAGUCGCGGCCUAUCAGCUUGUUGGUGAGGUAACGGCUCACCAAGGCGACGACGGGUAGCCGGCGUGAGAGGCCGACCGGCCACACUGGGACUGAGACACGGCCCAGACUACUACGGGAGGCAGCAGUGGGGAAUAUUGCACGAUGGGCGCAAGCCUGAUGCAGCGACGCCGCGUGAGGGAUGAAGGUCUUCGGAUUGUAAACCUCUUUCAGUAGGGACGAAGCGAAAGUGACGGUACCUAAAGAAGAAGCACCGGCUAACUACGUGCCAGCCGCCGCAGUAA